AGAGCUUGCUCUCUGGGUGACGAGCGGCGGACGGGUGAGUAAUGUCUGGGAAACUGCCUGAUGGCGGGGGAUAACUAGUGGAAACGGUAGCUAAUACCGCAUAACGUCGCAAGACCAAAGUGGGGGACCUUCGGGCCUCACGCCAUCAGAUGUGCCCAGGUGGGAUUAGCUGGUAGGUGGGGUAACGGCUCACCUAGGCGACGAUCCCUAGCUGGUCUGAGAGGAUGACCAGCCACACUGGAACUGAGACACGGUCCAGACUCCUACGGGAGGCAGCAGUGGGGAA
This 286-nucleotide ribosomal RNA is filed under the name uncultured Serratia sp. RNAcentral describes it as "partial 16S ribosomal RNA". It matches the Rfam family "Bacterial small subunit ribosomal RNA", at positions 75 to 361 of the family's 1533-position model. The record is from RNAcentral. Lineage: Bacteria; Pseudomonadati; Pseudomonadota; Gammaproteobacteria; Enterobacterales; Yersiniaceae.